UGCAGUCGAGCGGAUGAAGGGAGCUUGCUCCUGGAUUCAGCGGCGGACGGGUGAGUAAUGCCUAGGAAUCUGCCUGGUAGUGGGGGAUAACGUCCGGAAACGGGCGCUAAUACCGCAUACGUCCUGAGGGAGAAAGUGGGGGAUCUUCGGACCUCACGCUAUCAGAUGAGCCUAGGUCGGAUUAGCUAGUUGGUGGGGUAAAGGCCUACCAAGGCGACGAUCCGUAACUGGUCUGAGAGGAUGAUCAGUCACACUGGAACUGAGACACGGUCCAGACUCCUACGGGAGGCAGCAGUGGGGAAUAUUGGACAAUGGGCGAAAGCCUGAUCCAGCCAUGCCGCGUGUGUGAAGAAGGUCUUCGGAUUGUAAAGCACUUUAAGUUGGGAGGAAGGGCAGUAAGUUAAUACCUUGCUGUUUUGACGUUACCAACAGAAUAAGCACCGGCUAACUUCGUGCCNGCAGCCGCGGUAAUACGAAGGGUGCAAGCGUUAAUC
This 494-nucleotide ribosomal RNA is filed under the name Pseudomonas aeruginosa. RNAcentral's name for it is "bacterial SSU rRNA". It matches the Rfam family "Bacterial small subunit ribosomal RNA", at positions 56 to 546 of the family's 1533-position model. Lineage: Bacteria; Pseudomonadati; Pseudomonadota; Gammaproteobacteria; Pseudomonadales; Pseudomonadaceae. The record is from RNAcentral.